GUCUGAGAGGCUUUUGUGCCUCCCUGGUCGUCGUCCAUUCUUCACCCUGUGAACAUUCUGUAGGUUGGCUCUUGAGCAAAAUCUUUGUUGACUUUGCUCUGUGGGUCUCCCCUAUGUUUUUCCACAAACUACUCAGUUAAAAGAAUGUCUACUGCAUGUAAUGCAUUAUAUAUAACUUUCAGCAACGGAUCUCUUGGCUCUCGCAUCGAUGAAGAACGCAGCGAAAUGCGAUAAGUAAUGUGAAUUGCAGAAUUCAGUGAAUCAUCGAAUCUUUGAACGCACCUUGCGCUCCUUGGUAUUCCGAGGAGCAUGCCUGUUUGAGUGUCAUGGAGUUCUCAACUCUAUUCACUUUUGUGGAGUAGAGCUUGGACUUUGGAGGUUUACUGCUGGAUGGCAUCAGUGCCUCAGCUCCUCUUGAAUGCAUUAGCUUGAAGCCCUUGUGGAUCAGCUUCGGUGUGAUAAUUGUCUACGCUGUUCUGUGAAGCAUGUACUGUGGGCUUUGGCUUCCAAUUGUCCUUAGGUGGACACUUUUGACCUUUUGACCUCAGAUCAGGUAGGGUUACCCGCUGAACU
This is a ribosomal RNA of 573 nucleotides. The stretch from base 174 to 327 matches the Rfam family "5.8S ribosomal RNA".